UACGUAGGGGGCAAGCGUUGUCCGGAUUUAUUGGGUUUAAAGGGUGCGUAGGCGGCCUAUUAAGUCAGUGCUGAAAUCCUCCGGCUUAACCGGAGAUGUGGCAUUGAUACUGAUGGGCUAGAGUACAGAUGAGGUAGGCGGAAUUGACGGUGUAGCGGUGAAAUGCUUAGAUAUCGUCAAGAACACCUAUAGCGAAGGCAGCUUACUAGGCUGUAACUGACGCUGAGGCACGAAAGUGUGGGGAUCAAACAGG
This 253-nucleotide ribosomal RNA is filed under the name uncultured bacterium. RNAcentral describes it as "partial 16S ribosomal RNA". It matches the Rfam family "Bacterial small subunit ribosomal RNA", at positions 524 to 776 of the family's 1533-position model. The record is from RNAcentral.